This 253-nucleotide ribosomal RNA is filed under the name uncultured bacterium. RNAcentral's name for it is "partial 16S ribosomal RNA". It matches the Rfam family "Bacterial small subunit ribosomal RNA", at positions 524 to 776 of the family's 1533-position model. The record is from RNAcentral.
UACGAGGGGGGCAAAUGUUGUUCGGAAUCACUGGGCGUAAAGGGUGCGUAGGCGGGUUCUUAAGUAAGGUGUUUAAUCCCGGGGCCCAACCCCGGACCGGCACUUUAAACUGGGAAUCUUGAAUAGUGGAGAGGUCAGUGGAAUUGGGGGUGUAGCGGUGGAAUGCGUAGAGAUCCCCAAGAACACCAGUUGCGAAGGCGGCUGACUGGACACAUAUUGACGCUGAGGCUCGAAAGCAUGGGGAGCAAACGGG